This 482-nucleotide ribosomal RNA is filed under the name uncultured bacterium. RNAcentral's name for it is "bacterial SSU rRNA". It matches the Rfam family "Bacterial small subunit ribosomal RNA", at positions 28 to 507 of the family's 1533-position model. The record is from RNAcentral.
GACGAACGCUGGCGGCGUGCCUAACACAUGCAAGUCGAGCGGAGUCGAUCGACGGAAGCCUUCGGGCGGAAGAUGGUUGACUUAGCGGCGGAUGGGUGAGUAACGCGUGGGCAACCUGCCUCGAAGACCGGGAUAACAGCCCGAAAGGGCUGCUAAUACCGGAUGUGGUCAAGGAUCCGCAUGGAUUUUGAUUAAAGGGGAAACCCGUUUCGAGAUGGGCCCGCGUCCUAUCAGCUAGUUGGUGAGGUAAAAGCUCACCAAGGCGACGACGGGUAGCCGGCCUGAGAGGGUGACCGGCCACACUGGAACUGAGACAUGGUCCAGACUCCUACGGGGGGCAGCAGUGGGGAAUCUUCCACAAUGGGCGAAAGCCUGAUGGAGCGACGCCGCGUGAGCGAAGAAGGCCUUCGGGUUGUAAAGCUCUGUCUGGAGGGACGAAGGAAGUGACGGUACCUCCGGAGGAAGCCACGGCUAACUACGUG